RNAcentral lists this unclassified non-coding RNA (771 nucleotides) under uncultured Alphaproteobacteria bacterium. RNAcentral's name for it is "partial contains 16S ribosomal RNA, 16S-23S ribosomal RNA intergenic spacer, and 23S ribosomal RNA". The stretch from base 659 to 771 matches the Rfam family "Bacterial large subunit ribosomal RNA", at positions 1 to 113 of the family's 2925-position model. The record is from RNAcentral. Lineage: Bacteria; Pseudomonadati; Pseudomonadota; Alphaproteobacteria.
UCUAAGGAUCACGGCGGCAGAAGUAGCUCACGCUCUUCUCCUCCUGUCCAAAGAACAUGCCGCCGUCCUCAUGUCCCUUCAUCCUGGAAACGCUCCUCAAUUUGAGAAGUGAAGCCUGAGCUGGCUCACGCCGCCCGCGGCCUUAUGGCCGGCUGGGCACGGGGGCCGGUAGCUCAGGUGGUUAGAGCGCACGCCUGAUAAGCGUGAGGUCGAAGGUUCAACUCCUUCUCGGCCCACCAUCUGUUGCGAUGCCCCUUAACUGUGUGAAGUCUGUAAACUUCGCGCGGGGGCCAUAGCUCAGUUGGGAGAGCGCUAGCUUUGCAAGCUUGAGGUCGUCGGUUCGAUCCCGACUGGCUCCACCAUCUUUUCCAGGAAUGAAGAAACCGAAUCCGCGGGUUCGCUCGCGGUAGAGGCUCGAAGAGCUUCAUCUUUGACAUUGUGAAUGGGUUCUAGAAAUCGAUGCCGUGGUUGGCGAUCGGAGCAAUCCGAUCGAACAACUCACAACAAUGAUUAUCUAGCUGAGAGAUCCAGGCGGCGCCGAGCCGUGCUGGAUCACGAGUACGGCCGGGUAUUACGUACCGGUCGGAACUCAAACCAGAUCACCGAUAUAUCGACGCUGUGUAAUGCAAGCAGGUCUGUCGAUGGUGGUGUGGAUUCUCAAGCGUGAGGUAAGGGCAAUUGGUGGAUGCCUUGGCAUACACAGGCGAUGAAGGACGUGGCACGCUGCGAUAAGCUGCGGUGAGGUGUGAGCAACCUUUGACCCGCAGAUUU